Molecule: ribosomal RNA, 254 nt
Filed under: uncultured bacterium
Lineage: Bacteria
Description: partial 16S ribosomal RNA
Rfam family: Bacterial small subunit ribosomal RNA
Source: RNAcentral
GACGUAGGGGGCAAGCGUUAUUCGGAAUCAUUGGGCGUAAAGCGCUCGUAGGCGGGAAGGCAAGUCCGUGUUGAAAGACCUCGGCUCAACUGAGGGACCGGCUCGGAUACUGUUUUUCUUGAGGCAUUCAGAGGGUGAUGGAAUUCCCGGUGUAGCGGUGAAAUGCGUAGAUAUCGGGAGAACACCAGUGGCGAAGGCGAUCACCUGGGGAGUGUUCUGACGCUGGAGGAGCGAAGCUAGGGGAGCAAAACGGG